This 28-nucleotide small RNA is filed under the name Bombyx mori (domestic silkworm). Its description in RNAcentral is "ovarian small RNA-28635". The record is from RNAcentral. Lineage: Eukaryota; Metazoa; Arthropoda; Insecta; Lepidoptera; Bombycidae.
UCGCAUGUGGUAAAUGAUCGGUUGAUGA